CUUUUAUAACACAAUGCUUUAAAACACAACAUGGAAAUAAGGCUAGUUGCAUCACCAUUAACCUUCUUCACACCUAAAUAGCUGCAGUCACCCCUCACUGUCCUAUUUUUGGUCUGCCAACUUGAAAAACAUGGCAGCAGACAUCGAAUUCCUCCAAAGUUAUUGAACAAAAGGGGUUUCAGAUGGAAAAAAAAUCAACUUUAUCUGAAAUAUGAGAAUUUAUUAAUGGAGUAUGGGAGAUUUAGAGGGAUGACAUCUCAAAUCUAGACCCUCCAUUGCAGCUCUGAGCACAUUUUCAAUCAAGCAGCAUUUGUACGCUCACACAGGUUCUGCUCACAUCUGGCCGAUGAUGUUUGAACCUUUGUCCAGCAAAAGGAGGGGACUGAAACACGAGAAGCGAGGCGCAGUAAUCGAAGAGGUUGUGGAUGUUGAUACUGUAGUACUACAUGUCUGCUCUGUGUAGUCUGAUGAGUCUGUACAUGUUUGCAGGAAGAGCAGAUUCCUGCACCAUUGAUGAUGUAGCAAUAAUACUGAGGCUGCAUGACUCAACCAUUGAAUUAACUCCAGAACUCAUGUGUGAAACUACAAAAAUGGCGUCUGGUGGGUAUUACUGAUCACGGCUCAUAUGCUGCCUUCACAUGGGGUUGUGGUCUUUCCUUCAUGCCUUUACAUUUCAUACAAAUGGUUAGCCUUGGUGGCUUCUAGACAUCAAUGGUUGCGUCCAUGUUGUUCACGACUUUCCACAAGUUCCAUUUGAAGGCAGCAUGGGUUGUGUUCACCUGCCAGUGACAGUGUUCUUCUCGGCAUUUGAGUGUAUACACGUGCUUCUUCUUCUUAACGCAGGGAAACAUCUGCUCUUUAAACUCUGCUUUUUGUAUUCUUGAAAUGCUGUCUUUUGACAAAACUCGACAGAAAUGAAGCUCAGCACAGGACCAAACUAACUGGAUUAGAAAAUACCUCCUCACUGUUCUUCUGGUGGACAAAAAAUCUACAACUACAGCUUUUUCUAACAAGCCGUGAUGGUAACAUAUUUGAAACGAUGCUCCUUAAUCCCCCCCCCCGGUGGUUUUUGAGAUCAAUGGUUUUCACUGGAUAGGAAUGAUGCUGUUUAAAAGACCAAAAAAGUUUGUAUUUAGUUCAGCUGAUUUGAUCUCAGCUGACCACUGAACAAAGCAGGCGUGAGGCUAACAGGCACCAUGAGGAAGCUUUUGAAUUAAAGACAUUUUGAAUGUUUAUUCUGCCCUUUUGGAGGCAGAUAGGUGGAACCACAGCAGCACAAGAACCCGAUGUGGACGUUGUCAUCGCAGAUUAUUCAUGUUCAUAUGAGCCAACAGGAACUUCCUUCACCUUCUAGUAGCUUAGUAGAGACAUUGUCGUCUAUUUUGAUCUUUGAUAAACAGAAACUGAUCAUGAUAAUGUUGGAAACAUCUUGUGGUGGUGUGAAUAACUGCAUUUAAGAUGAUGCGAGAUGUAAAAACAUACAAAAUGGAGCUUAAACCAAGUAGUUUUGGUGGUGUAACUUAAUUAAUUAGCUUUGGUACCGAAACUUAACCAUAAAGUUUUGGUGCCAAAUGUGCACCAAUGCUCAAUCAAGUACCAUAGAUUUGGUGCCUAAACUUAAUCGAAAGUAAACACUGAGUGAAAAACCAUUCAUGAAAAUGAAAGUCAGAAUGAGACUUGAGUGAAAAAUAAACUAUAAAAUGCACCAAGAUGGGAUUUAAACUCACAUCUCUUGGGGAAACUGACUUCACAAACCCAAUCGACAUCUAAAUGAAGACUUUUGUUCCUCUUUAGUAGUGUAAAGUUGCUGCUUCUUCACCAUUAAAUGUGGUGAUGGAGGUCCAACCAGGAGGUGAAGGAAGCUCCUAUAAAAGCUGUCUGUGAUGUUAUCGACCAUUUAAUGGGCUGAAAACGUGAAACAUGAGGCUGAAUGUUGUAACAGCUCUCCAGCUGAUCGACCCAGCUGGUGGCUUCAGCGGUGUUUCCUCAUGUAUUCAGUCGCUCUGCUGAAGUGCUGCUGUAUUUUCUGAACCAUCCUUUUGUAAUAACCUCUUUCAUAAAUUCCCUCCACUCUCCUGUUGCUGCUGCUCUGCCGGAGGCUCCAGGUGAGGAGAGACUGAGCUGAUGCACUGCCGUAGGAGGAAGAUGACCUGAUAACAUUUUCCAUGCGAGUGUUUUUUAUUCUGAGACUGGGGGGGCUUCUAAAAGUAGAAAACACAUAAUGGAGGGAGAGAGCAAAGGUUGAAGGAUGGGAGAAGGAGAAGGGGCUCGUAUCGGAGUGGGUUUUUGUUGUUGGUUGGGUAGGAAACACCUGCAGAGCUUCGUAAUUGGCUGUACGCAGUCGACACUUUGGCAGCACCUGCUGUUUCGAUCUAUUAAUAACUCCGACUCACCGGAGGCCUUUGGAUGUGUGUUCAUGUCUGUCACGAUACCACGGUGCCCUGAUUCCUGACCCGACCACGCAGCUCCGGAGGAUCUCCACCGCCCCCGAGAGGCUGGUAUCUGAACAUAGCAUCAUAGGAGCUCUGCAUACUGCAGGAAGGAGGAACUCUACAUUAAUGAUGCAGCAGUAAAACAAACCACAGUAUUAGUUUUCUGUGUUCCGGUGCCUGUUCACAGAAGACAUACAACUGGGUCAGAGAGCAAAUACCUGAUGGGAUUUAUUUUACCUACGAAGAUGGAGGUCAAUGGGUUUACCUUGGAAACGAGUCCGGUUUCAGUAAUUAGGUCCAUACAGCUCAGAAUAAUUCAUCAGGUAGAUGCUGUAUUGACAGUAGAUACAACACCUGAGCUGCUCAUCUGAUCCAAAACAACCAUAUCUAUGUUUUUCACUGACUUGCUUCAAAUUAUUUACCUGCAACAGCGAAUCACACCAUAGUGUUAGUGGGUUGAUUGUGCUUUUAUAUCUUCCAGGCAGCUACUGCUUUCAGUUUCACAUCGGUGUGAUGUGAAAGUCAGCUCGCAAAGACCAAUUCAUCCUGCUUGGGUUUAAUUUUGUCAGCUAUGUAAUUUUUUUCCAUAGGUGCAAAAACACAGAUGAAUUUGCAGCUAUGUUCUGGUUUGGUUCUUUCCUGACAUCUGUUUUACUUCUGUACAUUUGUGCUCAUCUGGGUUUUAAAUUCAAAACUCUGCAAUCACCAGCUCUCUAAAAGUGGAUAUUGGAGCUUCAAUUUCCCCCAAAAAGUGCAGAUUUUUGUGAAACUGAUUCAUUGUGCGCAAUGAUGAUGAAAGCUUCAAGAGACAAGUCGCAUUCGUGAAGGUUUGCAGUAAACAAAUUAAACUUUUAGAAACAGUGGUACGAUCCCUCAGCCUCUCUCCUUCGUGUGUUGCUGCUUUCACUUCUUCAACACACCCGACCAGAUGAUAUGUUCAUGUUGCAGUAUUGAAAAACGAGUGUUUACCUCUGCAGAAGGCACUGCGGUCAGCCACUCGCUACAGUGCUUUACUACGACGUUCAGUAUCUCAUUUGUUCCUCGCUGCUGCACCCUGAUCCCCGACAGUGUGGCCUGCUUCCCUUUAAUAACCAAGAAGUGAAACAACUCGUUCAUCUUAAAGGAGAAUCUGGUUUAUAUCAAUUAUUGUCUGUAUUGUGUCUGUGAGUCAUGCUAAGGCUGCAAUCGCCAACUCAACAGGCAGCCUAUAUCAGUGCAGAAAAUGCAAGUUCCCUGUCAUUUUCAAAACAGAUUUUUACAUGAGUCACUUUUUGUUUUCAGUCAGACUGAAAGAAAACACAAAAAUUAGGCAUAGGAAAUGGACAGUGUGCUAACUCCAGUAUGGAUCUAGGUGAGCGAAUCGCCUGCCUGCUUAUCCACCAGUUUGUUUCCAUGUGUUUUGGUGCUGCAGAAGUUAAACCAAACCAGAUAUCCAGCUGAUUAAACAAUGACUGAGAGUAUGGAGAGCUGAGCUUCUAAUUCUUUUCUUCCAGUUGAUGUUGUGGAGGUGAAACGUCAUCUUCAGGAUGUUAGUCAAAGCUGCAGAUUGACUAGUUGUAGUUCUACAGCUGGGAUUCCUCUCAUCCGUAGACAAAUGGAGAUUUUUCCCAAAUCUUCCAUCAACAGGUCCCACUCUUUGCAGCAACAGUUUUCCUGCCCAGCACAUGACUUGGACAUUGUUGUUGCAGAUUAUUUCAAUAGGAACCUUACAUACCUUCUAGUAGCUCAGUCGGAUGCAUUAACUUCUAUUUUGAUAAUUCAGAAACAGAAAACUAACCAUGAUAACUUCUUGCAGUUGUGUGAAUAAGUUCAUGUAAAACAGCCGAUGGAGUCGUCACCAUGGUAACAUCCAAAAUGGAGCUUUGUAACAUGUAGUAAACACAACAAACGGGUAUUUUUAAACCCCAACUAUGAUCCUUUUUAAAACUUGAUCAAACAGUUUUGGUUAUUAACCUUAAACGAAUAAUUUUGGCACCUAAACUUAGCAAAGUAGUUUGCACAUUUGUAUUUAGUUGUAGUUUUGUUGCCUAAAACACAACAAAACAGCAAGAAAAAAGCAGUGAAUGAAGAAAAGCAAGUAAAAACAAAAGUCAAAAUAAGAUUUGAGUUAAAAAAUGAGAAGAAAAGUCAAAAAUUAAGGUUAAAAACAGGACUUUAAUCCAUGUCUUCUGAGUAAAAUUCAACUCCUCCAACCUAUAAAUGUGAAUCUUUUGUGAAUGCAAAGCUGUAGCUCCACCACCAUUGAAUGUGGUGAUAACCUCCUACUGAGCUACUAGAAGGUGGAGGAUGUUCGACUGGACCAUAUAUUUGGGAAUGAGGCAAUUAAUCAGCCAACAGGUUCCAGAGGUUUGGUGUCUUUCAGGAAGUCUGGUUGUCUUUCUGCCUCCAUCCUUUGAGUCUUCCUUUGAUUCAUUUCCUCUUUAGUGGACCUGCAGCCGUCUUCGUAAUGAUCCAUAUGAUGUUCCACCAUUACAUUUACCUGCGGAAACAAACCAGUAGAUCAAUAUGUUGUGGAUCUGGCUUGACAACAACUAUCCUUAAUGUAGAACCUUAAAGUAGUUAGCAAAAUGGCAGUUUUGGGCUGUUCAUUUCUGUUUAACUUCAGUCAGACUGCUAACAAAAGAAAUGAUUCAUGUAAAAAUGAGGUUUCUGGAAAAGCUGAAGGGAUCUCCACAACAUAAGUGGAGUGUGCAAAGUUAGCAUGACCCAUGGAGCCACAAUAGACACAUUAAUGCUAAAUACAUCAGGCUGUGGUUCUUCUUAAAGCUGUGAUAGUGACGGACAGCAGCAGACUGAUAGAUGCUGAAGAUCAGGUGCUGCAGUGAAUCUGUUACCCACAUGUCUUAACCCAGAGCUGCUCUGUGUGCUCUUCAGUGUGUGAUGCUACCUAACUUUGCAGGCCGCUGGUCAAAUAGCGCUUUAACAUUCGUUUGAGUAAUCGGAGAGUUGUUUGUACCUGCCAUAGUGAUGUGGACAAACUUGUGUAAAUCACUUGUUAUUUUAGGUUGUGUGUUGCCGUGUCUCCACCGCUGACCUUUAAUCCAGCGUUGUUCCCCCAAAACGUCGACUGUAUGUUUUUGUAAAACCGAAAAAAAGGAAGAAAAAUAUUUAUUGAAGUGUGUUUUACUUAAAAAACUCUAAAUAAAUAUAAUUAACUAAAUGGACCUUGCUUUUAUUUUGAAAAGCUACUGUGUUUUCUAUUUGACAAGUAAUCGAAUAUAACAAGAGUAUGUAUCCCAGACUAAAUAAAGUUAUCUUUUCCUGAC
Amphiprion ocellaris (clown anemonefish) is the source of this 5698-nucleotide long non-coding RNA. Lineage: Eukaryota; Metazoa; Chordata; Actinopteri; Pomacentridae. The record is from Ensembl.